GAGACGGACAGGCCGGGGCGGGCCGCGCCCGAUCAGGCACGGCCGUUCGCUAACCGGCCGCCAAGGGAAGCGGGCGCGGGGGCUGUGUCCCCGUCCUGGGGUAACGGCGCGACGCCCUGCAGCGGCCGGGGGGCGGCCGCAGCGUGGGGUGCCCUGCCCUGCCCUGCCUUGCGCUGCCCUGCCUUGCCCUGCCCUGCCUUGCCUUGCCCUGCCGCUGCAAGCUCGGGCCUCGCCAACGCGGACAGCAAGCCGCUAAACCGGCGCGUAUCGCCCAGGCGUUAUUUGCAGAGUCGGGCCCGGGAGAGGAAGAAGUAAAGGAAGAGGUGAAUUUGCCGGUGUACUUACCUGUCUGCUCAGCUGGGCCGUCUUCCCCCAGAACGUUACACAUGCCUGGUAUCCAUCCAAGACACCCCAGAUGUCGCUUAGGAAGGCUCACACUUAUGUUGUCAUCAUUCUCUGAAUAGUCAUGCCAAGAACGUAGCCAAGAGAUGGCCAAUAGGUACAUUCAGUCCGAAAGAGGCUGGGCAAGUCUGCAAGUUCCUAGGAGAUAAAGCCCACUGGAUGUAACAGGGAGACCUUUUAUAUUCUGGGGCUGGCUGGGAGUCUCUUGCAGACUGUAGAGCGGUUGCCAGAUCAUGCUUAGGAGAAGUUAGAUGGAGAAUACAGAAUGAAGCAGUGGAUCUGUCUCCAGGGUUAAAAGAACCAAAUGGGAAAGGUCUGGGAAUUCUAUGGAUGGGACCUGGUGUAUGCAUUGGGCAACUGCCAGAUUUGCCCUGGACUGACUGCUAGCCAGAAAAGCAGAUUCCCACCUUCACCUCAUUUUCUUCACCUGAACCAGCAAUGAUGGGAUGGAGUAUAUGUGUUGUGUGGAGCUGGAACCGGCUCAUCCCUCCCAUGAUGGGUUCUUGCACAGAAGACGAUGUUAUCUGUGUCUUCCACGGUGGUAUGUUAGGCUGUGUGUGUCCCUGUAUCAGGAAUGCUUUUAAGAAACAAUAUAAUAUUUGAAAUUACA
Long non-coding RNA from Gymnogyps californianus (California condor), 1012 nucleotides. RefSeq lists it as uncharacterized. The record is from RefSeq and is a predicted model, not a curated record. The transcript has 3 exons. NCBI's taxonomy places the organism in Eukaryota, Metazoa, Chordata, Aves, Accipitriformes, Cathartidae.